This 497-nucleotide ribosomal RNA is filed under the name uncultured bacterium. RNAcentral describes it as "partial 16S ribosomal RNA". It matches the Rfam family "Bacterial small subunit ribosomal RNA", at positions 28 to 507 of the family's 1533-position model. The record is from RNAcentral.
GAUGAACGCUGGCGGCGUGCCUAAUACAUGCAAGUCGAGCGAACGGACGAGAAGCUUGCUUCUCUGAUGUUAGCGGCGGACGGGUGAGUAACACGUGGAUAACCUACCUAUAAGACUGGGAUAACUUCGGGAAACCGGAGCUAAUACCGGAUAAUAUUUUGAACCGCAUGGUUCAAAAGUGAAAGACGGUCUUGCUGUCACUUCUAGAUGGAUCCGCGCUGCAUUGGCUAGUUGGUAAGGUAACGGCUUACCAAGGCAACGAUGCAUAGCCGACCUGAGAGGGUGUUCGGCCACUCUGGAACUGAGACACGGUCCAGGCUCCUACGGGAGGCAGCAGUAGGGAAGCUUCCGCAAUGGGCGAAAGCCUGACGGAGCAACGCCGCGUGAGUGAUGAAGGUCUUCGGAUCGUAAAACUCUGUUAUUGGGGAAGAACAUAUGUGUAAGUAACUGUGCACAUCUUGACGGUACCUGAUCAGAAAGCCACGGCUAACUACGUG